This 16-nucleotide small RNA is filed under the name Arabidopsis thaliana (thale cress). RNAcentral's name for it is "ATSL106260". The record is from RNAcentral. Lineage: Eukaryota; Viridiplantae; Streptophyta; Magnoliopsida; Brassicales; Brassicaceae.
AUAAUCAUCAUCGGUA